This 460-nucleotide ribosomal RNA is filed under the name uncultured bacterium. RNAcentral's name for it is "partial 16S ribosomal RNA". It matches the Rfam family "Bacterial small subunit ribosomal RNA", at positions 338 to 795 of the family's 1533-position model. The record is from RNAcentral.
CCUACGGGUGGCAGCAGUGAGGAAUAUUGGUCAAUGGACGAGAGCCUGAACCAGCCAAGUAGCGUGAAGGAUGACUGCCCUAUGGGUUGUAAACUUCUUUUAUAUGGGAAUAAAAUGUUCCACGUGUGGGAUUUUGUAUGUACCAUAUGAAUAAGGAUCGGCUAACUCCGUGCCAGCAGCCGCGGUAAUACGGAGGAUCCGAGCGUUAUCCGGAUUUAUUGGGUUUAAAGGGAGCGUAGGUGGAUUGUUAAGUCAGUUGUGAAAGUUUGCGGCUCAACCGUAAAAUUGCAGUUGAGACUGGCAGUCUUGAGUACAGUAGAGGUAGGCGGAAUUCGUGGUGUAGCGGUGAAAUGCUUAGAUAUCACGAAGAACUCCGAUUGCGAAGGCAGCUCACUAGACUGCAACUGACACUGAGGCUCGAAAGUGUGGGUAUCAAACAGGAUUAGAUACCCUGGUAGUC